RNAcentral lists this transfer RNA (91 nucleotides) under Felis catus (domestic cat). It matches the Rfam family "tRNA". Rfam says of the family: Transfer RNA (tRNA) molecules are approximately 80 nucleotides in length. The record is from Rfam by way of RNAcentral. RNAcentral also lists the same sequence under 5 other names. Lineage: Eukaryota; Metazoa; Chordata; Mammalia; Carnivora; Felidae.
GCCUGGGUGGUUUAGUUGGUUGAGCGUCUGACUCUUGAUUUAGGCUCAGGUCAUGAUCCCAGGUUUGUGGGAUCGAGCCCCACUCCAGGCU